Molecule: transfer RNA, 98 nt
Filed under: Lysobacter enzymogenes
Lineage: Bacteria; Pseudomonadati; Pseudomonadota; Gammaproteobacteria; Lysobacterales; Lysobacteraceae
Description: tRNA-OTHER
Source: RNAcentral
GGCGAUCUGGCCGAGUUCAGGCAGCAUGCGGCGGCGCCUUGUCGAAAAUGAAGAAAACGCGGGUCGCGAGGUUCGAGCCACCGUCGCCGCGGUCGCCG